RNAcentral lists this ribosomal RNA (447 nucleotides) under uncultured bacterium. RNAcentral's name for it is "bacterial SSU rRNA". It matches the Rfam family "Bacterial small subunit ribosomal RNA", at positions 331 to 792 of the family's 1533-position model. The record is from RNAcentral.
CUAGACUCCUACGGGAGGCAGCAGUGGGGAAUAUUGGGCAAUGGGCGCAAGCCUGACCCAGCAACGCCGCGUGAAGGAAGAAGGCUUUCGGGUUGUAAACUUCUUUUCUCAGGGACGAAGCAAGUGACGGUACCUGACUAAGAAGCCCCGGCUAACUACGUGCCAGCAGCCGCGGUAAUACGUAGGGGGCAAGCGUUAUCCGGAUUUACUGGGUGUAAAGGGAGCGUAGACGGCCGUGCAAGCCAGGAGUGAAAGCCCGGGGCCCAACCCCGGGACUGCUCUUGGAACUGUGCGGCUGGAGUGCGGGAGGGGCAGGCGGAAUUCCUGGUGUAGCGGUGAAAUGCGUAGAUAUCAGGAGGAACACCGGCGGCGAAGGCGGCCUGCUGGACCGCGACUGACGUUGAGGCUCGAAAGCGUGGGGAGCGAACAGGAUUAGAUACCCUAGUA